GAUGGUUUAAGGGGGCUACUGAUGUGUUCAGAUUAAUCAGCCAUUUCUACCGAGAUCAUGUCACCUUAAUCCAUUCAUGGACUCCAAUUAUGAGAAAUUAUUUUUGACAAAGUAAAACUAUGAAAGAUACAUAAUAAAAAUAUGUAACUUUCCUGGAGAGGGUAAACAUACCCAACAUAUAUAUUUUCUAAAAAUUAUAUUAACUGUGAGGGUUCUUGGAAGAAUAAUGAAUUAUGGUUCAGUUAUUUAGUCAUCUUAAAUUCUUAGGUAACUUGUCUACUUAAUUGUUCUCCAACCAAGCUUUUAUUACUAAAAUGAAAAAAGAUUACUAUGAAUGACUAUGUUCAGUUAUUUAAAGAUUGAAAUGUAUUUGAUUUAGGUGAAGUGGAGAAUGGCUUUAUUUUUUAUAGAAGAAAACAAUUUUGAUUUAAUUUUCGGGCAUAGUUAUUCUUUUUUGGGGGAGGGGGCGGUGUUUACCCUCACCAAAGGUUAUUACUUUUUCCAUUGAUUUUUAGAAUGGAAGUACAGGAGGGAGUGGGAGAGAGGAAGAGAGAAACAGUGUGUGAGAGACAUGCAUCAAUUGGUUGCCUCCUGCAUGCACCCAACAGGAGCCCUGGCCCCUUUGGUGGGAAGGCCAAUGUUCUAACCCCUGAGCAACACUAGCCAGGGCAGCAUAGCUAUUCUUAUUCAGAUUGAUAAACUCAUUGUAUAAAGUUUAUCCACAUUCAUCAAUAAAGUCAACAUAAGUAAGUUUUACCUUGGAUCACUGAGAGAACAUUAGAAAUCAAAUCUAAUUCUUCUGUUCGCUAGAGAGCAGAUUCUGAUAAAAGUCAGUGUGAGUCUAUACAAAUAUUUAAUUAUAGGGACAAUCAAGAAGUCCUUAAAAAUAUGACUUUGGCUGUAACAUGAUCCCACAGUGUAGAUCCCAAGGUUAAUGUUCUAAGAAGAUUUUUAAGUCAAAAUGAAAUGAAUGUAAUGAUUUAAAAAUAUAUUCUUAUGAAAUCAGCUAGUCACAUAUCAGAAAAGUUUUAAAGUUAUGUACAAAUCUUAGGAAGAAAGAUUAAGUCAUGCAUAUAAUGAGCUUUUUGUAAGUUCUGGUAUUGGAAUCAACCAAUAUUAUAAUGAUUUAGUGCAAUGCUUCUGCUGACUAACCUUGUCUCAUGUUGGUGGUUAAACACUUAAGAACACUUAUCAUAGUUUUAUUUAUUUUUUCAGUGUCACUUCCUGGCUUUUCUCAAUUCCAUGGCUGUGGAAUCAACUACUGUAUGUGUUUAGCUUUUAGUGAAUGGAUAACAUAGGUAGAUAAUAGAAAGUAAAUUAUUCUUCUACUUCAUUAAGUUAAAGCAUCUAUGUUACCAAAGAAACACUUAAGCUAUUUUUU
This is a long non-coding RNA of Pipistrellus kuhlii (Kuhl's pipistrelle), 1381 nucleotides long. RefSeq lists it as uncharacterized. NCBI's taxonomy places the organism in Eukaryota, Metazoa, Chordata, Mammalia, Chiroptera, Vespertilionidae. The record is from RefSeq and is a predicted model, not a curated record. The transcript has 2 exons.